Molecule: ribosomal RNA, 253 nt
Filed under: uncultured bacterium
Lineage: Bacteria
Description: partial 16S ribosomal RNA
Rfam family: Bacterial small subunit ribosomal RNA
Source: RNAcentral
UACGUAGGGCGCAAGCGUUGUCCGGAAUUAUUGGGCGUAAAGAGCUCGUAGGUGGCCUGUCGCGUCGGCUGUGAAAACUCGGGGCUCAACUCCGAGCUUGCAGUCGAUACGGGCAGGCUAGAGUUCGGCAGGGGAGACUGGAAUUCCCGGUGUAGCGGUGAAAUGCGCAGAUAUCGGGAAGAACACCCGUGGCGAAGGCGGCACUCUGGGACGGUACUGACGCUGAGACGCGAAAGCGUGGGGAGCGAACAGG